GUCAGGUUGGCUGAAUGGUCUAAGGUGCCAGACUCAGGGCCUAGCUGUGGGUGGGUGUUCUGGUCUCUGUAUGGAGACAUGGGUUCAAAUCCCGUUUCUAACA
Molecule: transfer RNA, 103 nt
Filed under: Alligator mississippiensis (American alligator)
Lineage: Eukaryota; Metazoa; Chordata; Crocodylia; Alligatoridae
Rfam family: tRNA
About the family: Transfer RNA (tRNA) molecules are approximately 80 nucleotides in length. Their secondary structure includes four short double-helical elements and three loops (D, anti-codon, and T loops). Further hydrogen bonds mediate the characteristic L-shaped molecular structure. tRNAs have two regions of fundamental functional importance: the anti-codon, which is responsible for specific mRNA codon recognition, and the 3' end, to which the tRNAs corresponding amino acid is attached (by aminoacyl-tRNA synthetases). tRNAs cope with the degeneracy of the genetic code in two manners: having more than one tRNA (with a specific anti-codon) for a particular amino acid; and 'wobble' base-pairing, i.e. permitting non-standard base-pairing at the 3rd anti-codon position.
Source: Rfam by way of RNAcentral